This 1032-nucleotide ribosomal RNA is filed under the name uncultured Chryseobacterium sp. RNAcentral's name for it is "bacterial SSU rRNA". It matches the Rfam family "Bacterial small subunit ribosomal RNA", at positions 63 to 1101 of the family's 1533-position model. The record is from RNAcentral. Lineage: Bacteria; Pseudomonadati; Bacteroidota; Flavobacteriia; Flavobacteriales; Weeksellaceae.
CGAGCGGUAUUUAUUCUUCGGAAUAGAGAGAGCGGCGUACGGGUGCGUAACACGUGUGCAACCUGCCUUUAUCUGGGAGAUAGCCCUCCGAAAGGGGGAUUAAUAUUCCAUAAUAUAUUAAUUGGCAUCAAUUGAUAUUGAAAGCUCCGGCGGAUAGAGAUGGGCACGCGCAAGAUUAGAUAGUUGGUGAGGUAACGGCUCACCAAGUCUGCGAUCUUUAGGGGGCCUGAGAGGGUGAUCCCCCACACUGGUACUGAGACACGGACCAGACUCCUACGGGAGGCAGCAGUGAGGAAUAUUGGACAAUGGGUGCAAGCCUGAUCCAGCCAUCCCGCGUGAAGGAUUAAGGUCCUAUGGAUUGUAAACUUCUUUUAUACAGGGAUAAACCUCUCCUCGUGAGGAGAGCUGAAGGUACUGUAUGAAUAAGCACCGGCUAACUCCGUGCCAGCAGCCGCGGUAAUACGGAGGGUGCAAGCGUUAUCCGGAUUUAUUGGGUUUAAAGGGUCCGUAGGCGGGCCGAUAAGUCAGUGGUGAAAUCUCGCAGCUUAACUGUGAAACUGCCAUUGAUACUGUUGGUCUUGAGUAAAUUUGAAGUGGCUGGAAUAAGUAGUGUAGCGGUGAAAUGCAUAGAUAUUACUUAGAACACCAAUUGCGAAGGCAGGUCACUAAGAUUUAACUGACGCUGAUGGACGAAAGCGUGGGUAGCGAACAGGAUUAGAUACCCUGGUAGUCCACGCCGUAAACGAUGCUAACUCGUUUUUGGGCACUUGUGCUCAGAGACCAAGCGAAAGUGAUAAGUUAGCCACCUGGGGAGUACGAUCGCAAGAUUGAAACUCAAAGGAAUUGACGGGGGCCCGCACAAGCGGUGGAUUAUGUGGUUUAAUUCGAUGAUACGCGAGGAACCUUACCAAGACUUAAAUGGGAAUUGACAGAUUUAGAAAUAGAUCCUCCUUCGGGCAAUUUUCAAGGUGCUGCAUGGUUGUCGUCAGCUCGUGCCGUGAGGUGUUAGGUUAAGUCCUGCAACGAGCGCAA